AAUCCUGUCAUUACUUGCAUUAUUGCCAUCUUCAUACUUUGCACCUUGCAAUGAGUAAGCUUGAGUGUAAUCUCCACCACCGGUGCCGAACUCACUGCCUAAACCGACUGAACAUUUUGGACUCACUGGAUUAGAGGAGUUCCUCCUACUUGAAGCCAACAAUGCUGUUACGUCAUUGUUCACAUUGUUAGCCCUCUUUUGCUGUUGAUUUUCAUCUGCAUUUUUAUUCCACACCAUAUCAGCCAAUUCAUCGGUGGCUUCACCGCUCGUCACGGCAAGAAGGCGUUGAGGAGAUGUUGAUG
This 302-nucleotide unclassified non-coding RNA is filed under the name Hevea brasiliensis (rubber tree). Lineage: Eukaryota; Viridiplantae; Streptophyta; Magnoliopsida; Malpighiales; Euphorbiaceae. The record is from RNAcentral.